GAUGAACGCUGACAGAAUGCUUAACACAUUCAAGUCUUUGGCGAAGCUGUGCUUGCACAGCCUAGCCAAGGCGGACGGGUGAGUAACGCGUAAGGAACUUGCCCUGCAGUCAGGGAUAACAGACGGAAACGACUGAUAAGACCUGGUAAAGUCAGGCGGACUCAUGUCCAGCCUGAUGAAAAGAGAUGCUGCAGGAGAGCCUUGCGUCCUAUUAGCUUGUUGGUGGGGUAACGGCCCACCAAGGCGAUGAUAGGUAGCCGGCCUGAGAGGGUGGACGGCCACAAGGGGACUGAGAUACGGCCCUUACUCCUACGGGAGGCAGCAGUGGGGAAUAUUGGACAAUGGGGGCAACCCUGAUCCAGCAAUUCUGUGUGCACGAUGAAGGUUUUCGGAUUGUAAAGUGCUUUCAGCAGGGAAGAAAAAAAUGACGGUACCUGCAGAAGAAGCGACGGCUAAAUACGU
This 462-nucleotide ribosomal RNA is filed under the name uncultured bacterium. RNAcentral describes it as "partial 16S ribosomal RNA". It matches the Rfam family "Bacterial small subunit ribosomal RNA", at positions 28 to 506 of the family's 1533-position model. The record is from RNAcentral.